Molecule: ribosomal RNA, 531 nt
Filed under: Larimichthys polyactis (yellow croaker)
Lineage: Eukaryota; Metazoa; Chordata; Actinopteri; Sciaenidae
Description: partial 16S ribosomal RNA
Rfam family: Bacterial large subunit ribosomal RNA
Source: RNAcentral
CAUGAUUUAGCUAGAAAACCUCAAGCAAAGAGCACUUUAGUUUGACUCCCCGAAACUACGUGAGCUACUCCAAGACAGCCUAACAACUAGGGCAAACCCGUCUCUGUGGCAAAAGAGUGGGAAGAUCUUUGAGUAGAGGUGACAGACCUAUCGAACCUAGUUAUAGCUGGUUGCCUGGGAAAUGAAUAGAAGUUCAGCCUCUCGGAUUCUCCUUUCACCCCACCUCCCUCCCUCCGACAACUAAAAGAAGCCGAAAGAGUUAGUCGAAGGGGGUACAGCCCCUUUGACACAAGAUACAACUUUUCCAGAAGGGUAAAGAUCAUACCCCAACACCAAGGUAAGAUGUUUCGGUGGGCCUAAAAGCAGCCACCCCAUAGAAUGCGUUAUAGCUCAAACAUAACUACCACCCCCAAUCCUGACAAUUUUAUCUUAGCCCCCUAAACCUUACCAGGCCAUUCCAUGCAAACAUGGAAGCGACCAUGCUAAUAUGAGUAAUAAGAGAGUAUCAACCUCUCUCCUUGCACAAGUGUA